This 466-nucleotide ribosomal RNA is filed under the name uncultured bacterium. RNAcentral describes it as "bacterial SSU rRNA". It matches the Rfam family "Bacterial small subunit ribosomal RNA", at positions 329 to 792 of the family's 1533-position model. The record is from RNAcentral.
UGCCAGACUCCUACGGGAGGCAGCAGUGAGGAAUAUUGGUCAAUGGCCGGGAGGCUGAACCAGCCAAGUCGCGUGAGGGAAGACGGCCCUACGGGUUGUAAACCUCUUUUGUCAGGGAGCAAUUGGCGCUACGUGUAGCGUUAUCGAGAGUACCUGAAGAAAAAGCAUCGGCUAACUCCGUGCCAGCAGCCGCGGUAAUACGGAGGAUGCGAGCGUUAUCCGGAUUUAUUGGGUUUAAAGGGUGCGUAGGCGGAAUGCCAAGUCAGCGGUAAAAUCGCGGGGCUCAACCUCGCUCCGCCGUUGAAACUGGCGUUCUUGAGUGGGCGAGAAGUAUGCGGAAUGCGUGGUGUAGCGGUGAAAUGCAUAGAUAUCACGCAGAACUCCGAUUGCGAAGGCAGCAUACCGGCGCCCAACUGACGCUGAAGCACGAAAGCGUGGGUAUCGAACAGGAUUAGAUACCCGAGUA